This 254-nucleotide ribosomal RNA is filed under the name uncultured bacterium. RNAcentral's name for it is "partial 16S ribosomal RNA". It matches the Rfam family "Bacterial small subunit ribosomal RNA", at positions 524 to 776 of the family's 1533-position model. The record is from RNAcentral.
UACAGAGGGUGCGAGCGUUGUUCGGAAUUACUGGGCGUAAAGCGCGCGCAGGCGGCCCUUUAAGUCUGACGGUGAAAUGCCGGGGCUCAACCCCGUGCCCGCCGCGGAUACUGGAGGGCUGGAGACACGUAGAGGCAAGCGGAAUUCCGGGUGUAGCGGUGGAAUGCGUAGAGAUCCGGAAGAACACCGGAGGCGAAGGCGGCUUGCUGGGCGUAGUCUGACGCUGAGGCACGAAAGCGUGGGGAGCAAAUAGG